Molecule: ribosomal RNA, 1389 nt
Filed under: uncultured bacterium
Lineage: Bacteria
Description: bacterial SSU rRNA
Rfam family: Bacterial small subunit ribosomal RNA
Source: RNAcentral
CCUUAGAGUUUGAUCCUGGCUCAGGACGAACGCUGGCGGCGUGCCUAACACAUGCAAGUCGAACGAAGCUUGACGAAUGAUUUCUUCGGAAUGAAAUCUGAUAUGACUGAGUGGCGGACGGGUGAGUAACGCGUGAGCAACCUGCCCUUCGGAACGGGAUAGUGUCUGGAAACGGACAGUAAUACCGUAUAACGUAUUUUUACCGCAUGAUAGAAAUACCAAAACUGAGGUGCCGAAGGAUGGGCUCGCGUCUGAUUAGAUAGUUGGUGGGGUAACGGCCUACCAAGUCGACGAUCAGUAGCCGGACUGAGAGGUUGAACGGCCACAUUGGGACUGAGACACGGCCCAGACUCCUACGGGAGGCAGCAGUGGGGAAUAUUGCACAAUGGGGGAAACCCUGAUGCAGCAACGCCGCGUGAAGGAAGACGGUUUUCGGAUUGUAAACUUCUGUUCUUAGUGAAGAAUAAUGACGGUAGCUAAGGAGCAAGCCACGGCUAACUACGUGCCAGCAGCCGCGGUAAUACGUAGGUGGCAAGCGUUGUCCGGAAUUACUGGGUGUAAAGGGAGCGUAGGCGGGAUGCCAAGUCAGCUGUGAAAACUAUGGGCUUAACCCGUAGACUGCAGUUGAAACUGGUAUUCUUGAGUGAAGUAGAGGUUGGCGGAAUUCCGAGUGUAGCGGUGAAAUGCGUAGAUAUUCGGAGGAACACCGGUGGCGAAGGCGGCCUGCUGGGCUUUUACUGACGCUGAGGCUCGAAAGCAUGGGGAGCAAACAGGAUUAGAUACCCUGGUAGUCCAUGCCGUAAACGAUGAUUACUAGGUGUGGGGGGAUAACCCCCUCCGUGCCGGAGUUAACACAAUAAGUAAUCCACCUGGGGAGUACGACCGCAAGGUUGAAACUCAAAGGAAUUGACGGGGGCCCGCACAAGCAGUGGAGUAUGUGGUUUAAUUCGAAGCAACGCGAAAAACCUUACCAGGUCUUGACAUCUAUCGCUAUCCCAAGAGAUUGGGAGUUCCCUUCGGGGACGGUAAGACAGGUGGUGCAUGGUUGUCGUCAGCUCGUGUCGUGAGAUGUUGGGUUAAGUCCCGCAACGAGCGCAACCCUUACUGUUAGUUGCUACGCAAGAGCACUCUAACGGGACUGCCGUUGACAAAACGGAGGAAGGUGGGGAUGACGUCAAAUCAUCAUGCCCUUUAUGACCUGGGCUACACACGUACUACAAUGGCCGCUAACAAUGAGCAGCAAAACCGCGAGGUGGAGCGAAUCUAUAAAAGCGGUCUCAGUUCGGAUUGCAGGCUGCAACUCGCCUGCAUGAAGUCGGAAUUGCUAGUAAUCGCGGAUCAGCAUGCCGCGGUGAAUACGUUCCCGGGCCUUGCACUCACCGCCCGUCA